This is a long non-coding RNA of Coffea arabica (coffee), 2218 nucleotides long. RefSeq lists it as uncharacterized. The record is from RefSeq and is a predicted model, not a curated record. Lineage: Eukaryota; Viridiplantae; Streptophyta; Magnoliopsida; Gentianales; Rubiaceae.
UAUGUAGGACAUUUGUCCUUACCAACUGUCCAAAAGACAUGCAAAUGUAUUACUCAUUAUCGAAGAAUCAGAGCUAGUGCUCUAUAUUUCAGUCGACCAAGAGAAAUGGUAGAAACUAUCCUUAGCUUUCUUCUUCCUUAGUUUCUUAAAGUAGCCUAAAGACAAUCAAGAGGAAAAGGAGAGAACCACACACAAGUAGAAACUCAUUUCUUACAUUUCUUCAACCGUGAAAACCAGUUAAAAAUCAAGAAAAAAUUUGUAGUCUAUCUAACUAAGAGUCGGGAAAAGAGAGACAUCAGCAAUCUUCCAAACUUAAAGCCAUUAAGAACUGGAGGUAAUCUACUAAAUUUUUUUCAAUUUUCUUCUGUGUUUAGUUAGCACUACCGUGACACCAAGUGGUUGACAUUAUCCGGUAGGGACUCAAACAAAGGAGAUUAGUCUAUCGAAAUUUUUUUUUUUAACUAAAAAAUGUCCAAAAGUAUUACAAGUAAACUUAAGCAAUUUUAACACAAGUAAUAAUAUAUUUGGAUUAAAUCCGUAAUUUGAAGUUUUAAAUCUGAAACCUCUUUUAUAAGUACAAUUAAUUACACUAACAAAUAUUAGUGAUUUAACUUGGAAACAUUAAAUUGCCAACCACUAAUACAAUCUAAUAUGUUAGUUGAAAUAUUUAUUGUUUGUAACAUAAUAUCCACAUGGCUUAAGAAAGGCGAUCGGAAGACAAGCAUUAGAAUUAAUACUAGGCAUUUUUAACUACAGAAAAUUUAAAUAAAUUCUCUUUGCAUAAAUAAAUACAUAAUACUUAUUAUAAAAAGAUUAGGAAGAUUUUCAAUUUUCAUUACUCUUCACUGGAAGACCAAAUGGAUUUGGACUACAUUAUUCUGUUUUUAGAAGAUUUUUUCAGAUCUUCCUUCCAUGUUUGUCCUGACCAAACCAAUCAAUUAAAAGCAAGAAAAUCUUUCCCACAAUCCACCGGGAACAGACCAAAUCUUUCUUCUUUUUUUUUUUUAAACCUUAAUGUCCACAAAUUACAAGCCCAAUAGCCCAAACUGAUCCAAAAGGUCUUUCCAGUCAAAUUGGUCAAAAUAACUAGUUGAGUCAAGAACUCACCUGCUGAAGUGAGAAAUGUCGUUUUUGGGCAGAGUCGCCGGCGGAGGCCAAGACGGAAAGCAGGGACGGCUUUCUUCCUCGCUUCUCCUCUUCCUUUCCCGACCAGCGACACUCCUCUCCUCCCCGAUCUGAUGAAUCCCCGUUCAUUUAGCUCCUGCAGCCGCAUUCUUUACUCGCCGGAGGCUCUCUCUUUCUUUCUCUCUCGGUGGAUGAGUGCUGUUAUCUGUCUGGGGUCAAUCUGUUUUCAAAUUUGAGUAUGUAUGUGCUUAAGUACAAAGCAUGCUGCUAGAAACAGCCUCAGGACUUGCAAUUUCUCAUGCAAGAGGAGAGAAAAUCACUGUGCUAUUUCAUUACGAAUGGUGGAGGUAGUCCUGAUGCUGCGGGCUGCAGCUGCAGAUUCUCAAUUCUACGUACUUACAAGUUCAAUUUUGCCUGCAAUUGAAUGUACUUCUUCAGAUACCUCAAUUCUAUGUACUAACAACUUCAAUUUGGCCUGCAGGUUCUCAAUUCUAUGUAGCAACAAGUUCAUUUUUGCCUGCAAUUGAAUAUACUUCUUCAGAUACCUUAUUCAUUUCAGUAACCCUGUAUUUCAUUACGCAAAUCUGGUUGUUUUUAACCAAAUUUCAGUAACCCUGCAUUUCUCAUUUAGCCAGAAUUACGUAAUCAAGACUUUAGGCAACAUAGAAAAGCACAUACAUUACGUCCUUAUUUGUCACUGUACCAAAUUUUAUUGCUUCCUAACAUUUCUUUGCAGCCAUCGAAAGUACAGCUUGCAGUUCACGGUGACUACAUUCUUAUCUGGAGUUCCAACUCUUGGCCCCUUUGAGAAAAUAUUCAAUGCAAUUGAACCAUGGAUGCCAAGUGAAGCCUUGUUUUCUAGAGAAAUCUCAGGACAAAUAUUCUGUCAUAUCUGAUUGCAUAGUUCUAUAUCAGCAAAGAUAUGGCAUGUAGAUUUUUUUGGAUGAUUGAAUAGCAAGACUGAGACCUUUCUUUUAGAACAUCCGGUUGGAUGGUGAAUUUCUUGGGUGGUUGUAUAAAACUUUAUUGUAGUUUAUUAGUGGAUUUUGUAGAAAAAAUAUUUUGAGAUGUGUAGGACUUUCUCUUUCUUUUU